This is a long non-coding RNA of Eleginops maclovinus (Patagonian blennie), 1301 nucleotides long. RefSeq lists it as uncharacterized. The transcript has 3 exons. The record is from RefSeq and is a predicted model, not a curated record. NCBI's taxonomy places the organism in Eukaryota, Metazoa, Chordata, Actinopteri, Perciformes, Eleginopidae.
UAAUGCAGCAAAAUGUAUGAAUUAAAUAACGUCCCUUCAAAAUGAUAUUGUAAACGUUGAAUACUGUUUCUCUUCCUUCUCCUCUCCCUAAUUCAUCUCUGUGACGUCAGGUGUUCGUGCGGAUAACUCCCCUCAAGUUGUGUUUAAGAUUGAAUCUCCAGAAUGCGAGGUAAUUCAAGAAGAAUCUGACGUUGAAAUCCCCAGAACAGCGGGGUUAUUGUUUGGAGUGAGUCACGGACAGUCAAGUGUGUAUUCUGGACCGCCUUAAAAACCUUUGAGAUGGAUGCCUCCUGUCCGCCCAGGGACAUAAUUAAUGUUUUUCCAAAGAGUCAGCCAACCUUGAAAUAUUGAACACUUUAUUUGCCAGGUACACAGAGGUGAAUGGAAUAAAAAAAAAGAAGCUCUUGGUGCUGAUUCCACUUUCAUUUUUUUCCUUCUUGUUUUACCUGGAUAUCUGAGUUUGAUUAGUUGUUUUCUAACUGACCUUCUAGAGUUGCCUUUAAAUCUCAAGUUGGUUAGUUAGACUUUUCUAAGAGCAGCAUGUGAAUAAGGGCGAAUGGUUUAAUUAAAAAUAAGCAAAUGCAAAUAAAAUCAGUAAAAGAUUGAAUCAGAGUGUAAAAAGUGAACACCUUAGAUGAGGCCAAGGCAAACCACUGUAACUCGUGGUUUUUAUUCGGCCCCCCCAUCAGAAUAAAUUGCCUUGUUGUAAAAGAACUAAUGAAUGACUCUUGACUUUAACACACACAGCUCCGGCUGCAUCUUUCAGCUGCCAGUAAGAACGCUAUCAGAAGUUUUCCAUAAGCCUCUUUUCCUGUUUCCAAACCCCAGAGCUAUUUGUUGCUUCUGCAUCUGAAGGUCACCCACCAUCGGUUCAUCACUGGCAAUGAAUUAACAUCCUUCCAGGGAUUUUGAAAUGCCAUGUAAAGUAUAGGGUAUUGUCUCCAUGUGAAUGCUUCCUGUCUUGGGUUAAAGUUUAGUGCCUUAUUUACUCUUCACUCAAAAACUGAAAUUAUGGAAAAGAGGCUGUUGUUCAUUUAGGUGCUGUGUGAAUGUUUACUUCCAAUUUUCUUAAUUAGUGGUCACGGACGGUCCAAGGUUGUGGAGACUAUCCAACUUUAGCUGAUAGCAGCCGUAAACUCAUUAUGUUUGGCACAAUAAGCAACCUGAAGGGGGAAAGAAUACUUUGCAAAGUCAUUGUGUGUUCAUCCCAAGGAGUUCUAGAAUUUAAAAAAGGAAAUGUGUUUUAUUUCUCAAACCAGAUGCUGAUAAUUAUGUUGAGAUUUAGGUUUUGAUGGGAGAUU